UCCUGUCUGAAUAUGGGGGGACCAUCCUCCAAGGCUAAAUACUCCUGACUGACCGAUAGUGAACCAGUACCGUGAGGGAAAGGCGAAAAGAACCCCGGCGAGGGGAGUGAAAAAGAACCUGAAACCGUGUACGUACAAGCAGUGGGAGCACAGGUUUACCUGUGUGACUGCGUACCUUUUGUAUAAUGGGUCAGCGACUUAUAUUCUGUAGCAAGGUUAACCGAAUAGGGGAGCCGGAGGGAAACCGAGUCUUAAUUGGGCGUUAAGUUGCAGGGUAUAGACCCGAAACCCGGUGAUCUAGCCAUGGGCAGGUUGAAGGUUGGGUAACACUAACUGGAGGACCGAACCGACUAAUGUUGAAAAAUUAGCGGAUGACCUGUGGCUGGGGGUGAAAGGCCAAUCAAAC
RNAcentral lists this ribosomal RNA (406 nucleotides) under Salmonella enterica. RNAcentral describes it as "partial 23S ribosomal RNA". It matches the Rfam family "Bacterial large subunit ribosomal RNA", at positions 432 to 838 of the family's 2925-position model. Lineage: Bacteria; Pseudomonadati; Pseudomonadota; Gammaproteobacteria; Enterobacterales; Enterobacteriaceae. The record is from RNAcentral.